This 55-nucleotide transfer RNA is filed under the name Dermatophagoides farinae (American house dust mite). RNAcentral describes it as "tRNA-Tyr". The record is from RNAcentral. Lineage: Eukaryota; Metazoa; Arthropoda; Arachnida; Sarcoptiformes; Pyroglyphidae.
UAGACUUUCUGGGAAGGCUGUAAACUUUCUUUUUUGUGUUAUCUUAAGGGUUUAA